Molecule: ribosomal RNA, 165 nt
Filed under: uncultured bacterium
Lineage: Bacteria
Description: partial 16S ribosomal RNA
Rfam family: Bacterial small subunit ribosomal RNA
Source: RNAcentral
UAGGGAAUCUUCGGCAAUGGACGAAAGUCUGACCGAGCAACGCCGCGUGAGUGAAGAAGGUUUUCGGAUCGUAAAACUCUGUUGGUAGAGAAGAACGUUGGUGAGAGUGGAACGCUCAUCAAGUGACGGUAACUACCCAGAAAGGGACGGCUAACUACGUGCCAA